GAUGAACGCUGGCUACGGCUUAACACAUGCAAGUCGAGGGGAAACGACGGGGAAGCUUGCUUCCCCGGGCGUCGACCGGCGCACGGGUGAGUAACGCGUAUCCAACCUGCCUCUGACUGAGGGAUAACCCGUCGAAAGUCGGCCUAAUACCUCAUGGCAUCGUCUGCGGGCAUCCAACGACGAUUAAAGAUUUCAUCGGUCAGGGAUGGGGAUGCGUCUGAUUAGCUUGUUGGCGGGGUAACGGCCCACCAAGGCUACGAUCAGUAGGGGUUCUGAGAGGAAGGUCCCCCACAUUGGAACUGAGACACGGUCCAAACUCCUACGGGAGGCAGCAGUGAGGAAUAUUGGUCAAUGGGCGAGAGCCUGAACCAGCCAAGUAGCGUGCAGGAUGACGGCCCUAUGGGUUGUAAACUGCUUUUAUGCGGGGAUAAAGUGAGGGACGUGUCCUUCAUUGCAGGUACCGCAUGAAUAAGGACCGGCUAAUUCCGUGCCAGCAGCCGCGGUAAUACGGAAGGUCCGGGCGUUAUCCGGAUUUAUUGGGUUUAAAGGGAGCGUAGGCCGUGGAUUAAGCGUGUUGUGAAAUGCAUGUGCUCAACGUCUGCACUGCAGCGCGAACUGGUCCACUUGAGUGUGCACAGCGCAUGCGGAAUUCGUGGUGUAGCGGUGAAAUGCUUAGAUAUGACGAAGAACUCCGAUUUGCUAAGGGCAGCUUGCGGGAGCACAACUGACGCUGAAGCUCGAAAGGUGCGGGUAUCGAACAGG
Molecule: ribosomal RNA, 762 nt
Filed under: uncultured Prevotella sp.
Lineage: Bacteria; Pseudomonadati; Bacteroidota; Bacteroidia; Bacteroidales; Prevotellaceae
Description: bacterial SSU rRNA
Rfam family: Bacterial small subunit ribosomal RNA
Source: RNAcentral